UUUUAUUUUUUUAUUUUGUUUUAAUUGAGUCUUAUUUUUUUUUAAAUUGAAUUAAUUAGGCUCUUGUCAUUAGUUUCAUAUUAAUACACUUCAAGAGAGUGUUUGAUUGCGAUUUUUUUUGAAUUUUUGAAUUAUUUUAAUUUUAAUUUUUAAAAAAAUAAAAUAAUUACCACGUGCCAAGCAAAUAUUAUGUCACAUGAC
Molecule: long non-coding RNA, 201 nt
Filed under: Vigna radiata
Lineage: Eukaryota; Viridiplantae; Streptophyta; Magnoliopsida; Fabales; Fabaceae
Description: long non-coding RNA (VRAD_LNC017945)
Source: RNAcentral